RNAcentral lists this long non-coding RNA (1576 nucleotides) under Arabidopsis lyrata. RNAcentral describes it as "long non-coding RNA (ALYR_LNC002592)". Lineage: Eukaryota; Viridiplantae; Streptophyta; Magnoliopsida; Brassicales; Brassicaceae. The record is from RNAcentral.
AUCUUUCCAAGGCAAUGUAGUCGAAACCCUAAAAGAGUCGUUGAGCCGUGUGCUAGUCCAUUUUUACCCCAUGGCUGGCCGUCUCAGAUGGCUCCCUCGGGGGCGAUUCGAGCUCAAUUGUAACGCCGAGGGAGUGGAAUUCAUCGAAGCGGAAUCCGAAGGAAAGCUUUCGGAUUUCAAAGAUUUCUCUCCUACGCCGGAAUUCGAGAAUCUUAUGCCGCAAGUAAACUAUAAAAACCCUAUCGAAACGAUUCCUCUAUUUUUAGCUCAGCUUACCAAAUUCAAAUGCGGUGGAUUAAGCCUUAGCGUCAACGUUUCCCACGCGAUCGUCGAUGGCCAAAGCGCGCUUCACUUAAUAUCGGAAUGGGGAAGACUAGCGCGCGGUGAACCUUUAGAAACCGUUCCAUUUCUAGACCGGAAAAUCCUCUGGGCUGGUGAACCUCUCCCACCGUUUGAGUCGCCGCCAAAGUUCGAUCACAAAGAGUUUGAUCAGCCACCGUUUUUGAUCGGAGAAACGGACAAUGUAGAAGAGAGAAAGAAGAAGACGAUUGUUGUCAUGCUAAAACUGAGCAAAUCUCAGCUGGAGAAGCUAAGAAGUAAAGCGAACGCAAGCAAAUACGCUGACCCAGCGAAAGGGUUUACACGGUACGAGACCGUCACGGGACACGUGUGGAGGUGCGCGUGUAAAGCACGUGGCCAUUCUCCGGAGCAACCCACGGCUCUAGGAAUCUGUAUAGAUACUCGUAGUCGGAUGCAGCCACCUCUGCCCCGUGGCUACUUCGGCAAUGCUACUCUUGACGUGGUCGCAGCAAGCACCUCAGGUACGUUUUUUUUUCUAUUACUAUUCAUAGAAAUUUGUUUUGUUUUGUGAAUUUGAGAAUAAAAAUAAAAAUUGAAUUACACUUUUAAAAUUUUUUAAUUUAAUCUCCUAAAUAAAAUUUAUGUUUUGUUCAUUACUUUGAAAUUCCAACUUCAGUAAUUAGUUAUAUUUGAGAAUUUAUCCUAAAUAGCUGAGAUUGUGUUUACAUGCAUUACCUAGUAUGUAUUGAUUUUUUGAGUUAAUUUCGAUAAUGUUGUUAUGCGUAUAGGCGAACUGAUAUCGAAUGAAUUGGGUUUCGCGGCAAGUUUAAUCAGUAAAGCCAUAAAGAAUGUAACAAACGAAUACGUGAUGAUUGGGAUAGAGUAUCUUAAGAACCAAGAAGAUCUGAAGAAGUUUCAAGACCUACAUGCCUUGGGAAGCGCGGAAGGUCCAUUCUAUGGAAACCCUAAUCUUGGAUUGGUUAGCUGGUUAACUUUGCCAAUGUAUGGCCUUGAUUUCGGAUGGGGCAAGGAGUUCUACACGGGACCAGGCACGCAUGAUUUCGACGGCGACUCGCUGAUCUUGCCGGAUCAAAACGAAGAUGGCUCGGUGAUUCUUGCUACGUGUCUACAGGUGGCUCACAUGGAGGCCUUCAAGAAACACUUUUAUGACGAUAUCUAGGCUUGUCUCUUUUUAUAUACAUGACGUAUACAAAUAUUUAUGCAUUUUCAUUUGAAUUCUACUUAUAUUGUUGUGAUUAUUGAAUUGUAAUAACAA